This 459-nucleotide ribosomal RNA is filed under the name uncultured bacterium. Its description in RNAcentral is "partial 16S ribosomal RNA". It matches the Rfam family "Bacterial small subunit ribosomal RNA", at positions 338 to 795 of the family's 1533-position model. The record is from RNAcentral.
CCUACGGGAGGCAGCAGUGAGGAAUAUUGGUCAAUGGGCGCGAGCCUGAACCAGCCAAGCCGCGUGAGGGAAGACGGUCCUACGGAUCGUAAACCUCUUUUGUCGGGGAGCAAAAGACGCCACGCGUCGCGUGACGAGAGUACCCGAAGAAAAAGCAUCGGCUAACUCCGUGCCAGCAGCCGCGGUAAUACGGAGGAUGCGAGCGUUAUCCGGAUUUAUUGGGUUUAAAGGGUGCGCAGGCGGAAGAUCAAGUCAGCGGUAAAAUUGAGGGGCUCAACCACGUCGAGCCGUUGAAACUGGUGUUCUUGAGUGAGUGAGAAGUAUGCGGAAUGCGUGGUGUAGCGGUGAAAUGCUUAGAUAUCACGCAGAACUCCGAUUGCGAAGGCAGCAUACCGGCGCUCAACUGACGCUCAUGCACGAAAGUGUGGGUAUCGAACAGGAUUAGAUACCCGAGUAGUC